UGGUUGAAAUGAUCUGAAGAACUUGUUCAGAUUUGAUUUUCAACAUUGCAAUGAGUGGCGAACGGGUGAGUAACACGUGGGAAACCUACCUCUUAGCAGGGGAUAACAUUUGGAAACAAAUGCUAAUACCGUAUAAUAAUUAAAACCGCAUGGUUUUAGUUUAAAAGAUGGUCUUGCUAUCACUAAGAGAUGGUCCCGCGGUGUAUUAGUUAGUUGGUGAGGUAAUGGCUCACCAAGACAAUGAUACAUAGCCGAGUUGAGAGACUGACCGGCCACAAUGGGACUGAGACACGGCCCAUACUCCUACGGGAGGCAGCAGUAGGGAAUCUUCCACAAUGGACGAAAGUCUGAUGGAGCAACGCCGCGUGUGUGAUGAAGGGUUUCGGCUCGUAAAACACUGUUGUAAGAGAAGAAUGACAUUGAGAGUAACUGUUCAAUGUGUGACGGUAUCUUACCAGAAAGGAACGGCUAAAUACGUGCCAGCAGCCGCGGUAAUACGUAUGUUCCAAGCGUUAUCCGGAUUUAUUGGGCGUAAAGCGAGCGCAGACGGUUAUUUAAGUCUGAAGUGAAAGCCCUCGGCUCAACCGAGGAAUUGCUUUGGAAACUGGAUAACUUGAGUGCAGUAGAGGAAAGUGGAACUCCAUGUGUAGCGGUGAAAU
This 659-nucleotide ribosomal RNA is filed under the name uncultured Weissella sp. Its description in RNAcentral is "bacterial SSU rRNA". It matches the Rfam family "Bacterial small subunit ribosomal RNA", at positions 45 to 687 of the family's 1533-position model. Lineage: Bacteria; Bacillati; Bacillota; Bacilli; Lactobacillales; Lactobacillaceae. The record is from RNAcentral.